This 263-nucleotide ribosomal RNA is filed under the name uncultured archaeon. RNAcentral's name for it is "partial 16S ribosomal RNA". It matches the Rfam family "Archaeal small subunit ribosomal RNA", at positions 748 to 1008 of the family's 1478-position model. The record is from RNAcentral.
AGGGUGUAAACGCUGCAGACUUGGUGUUGGAAGUCCUUUGGGGGCAUUCAGUGCCGGAGAGAAGUUGUUAAGUCUGCUACUUGGGGAGUACGUCCGCAAGGAUGAAACUUAAAGGAAUUGGCGGGGGGAGGCACCGCAACGGGAGGAGCGUGCGGUUUAAUUGGAUUCAACACCGUAAAACUCACCAGGGAAGACUGUUACAUGAAGGCCGAGAUGAAGACUCUGCUAGAUUUUCAGAGAGGUGGUGCAUGGCGUCAGUGACU